This 363-nucleotide unclassified non-coding RNA is filed under the name uncultured Dehalococcoidia bacterium. RNAcentral's name for it is "contains 16S-23S intergenic spacer region". The record is from RNAcentral. Lineage: Bacteria; Bacillati; Chloroflexota; Dehalococcoidia.
UCCCCUUUUAAAGGGCAGUCUCGCUAGACAGAGUAACUAGCGACAAGGGUUGCGCUCGUUGCGGGACUUAACCCAACACCUCACGGCACGAGCUGACGACAGCCAUGCAACAUCUGUGCUAGUGCCCCUUGCGGGGAAACCCGCUUUCACGGGCUGUCACUAGCAUUUCAAGCCCUGGUAAGGUUCUUCGCUUAUCAUCGAAUUAAACCACACGCUCCGCUGCUUGUGCGGGCCCCCGUCAAUUCUUUUGAGUUUUAGCCUUGCGGCCGUACUCCCCAGGCGGGGUACUUAGCGCGUUAGCUACGGCACAGGGGGGGUCGAUACCCCCUAUACCCAGUACCCAUCGUUUAGGGCGUGGACUAC